AGAAUCUCUUUGCUGCUGUUGAAAUGGCAGGCGCAGGUUGUCCUCUUGUGGAACUUCUCUAAAUUCUAGUCUCUUUGUUGCGGAGAAGUUUUGUACUAGUGUCAGUGCAGAGGAGCAGUGAAAAUUAAGAAACAGUCCUAGGCCAGUCUACUCGGGAGCAAGUGCCAUUGAGUUCUUUCCCAAGUAACAAAUGUUGAAAGAAGACACACAGUUUCUUGCAGCAAAAUCUAAGCCAGAUGCAUUCACCAUGAAGAAACCUUUAUUUCAAGAAGCUGCCCUGAUAACAGAUCAAAAAUGCACCCAAUUUGGAUCACUAUCAUUGAUGGCAUUUUUACCCCCAUCGUUGGCGGAAAUGUAGAAAGACCAGGAAACUGCAAGAGGAGCUUUUGCGGAAUAUGUUAAAUAAACUAGAACAAGUUAUGUGUGCUUUGUACACCUAAGUGCAAGGCAUGAAUGCAAUCAGGAAGAAAAGAUUUUGGGCCUCCUGCUUCUGUGUUGUUGCCUUCUUCUUUCUUCUUGUCACCCUCCAGGUGGUUGUAGAGCUUGGGAAGUCUGAAAGGAUGAUGACAAAAAGCUCCCUUUUGCACAGCAAUGCGUUGAGAAGGGAAGAGUUGUUGACAUACACUCGUCUGCUUGCAAAGAAACUGGAACUUCACAGUGACGCAAAGGAUGCUUUGGACGAAGAUGGACAUCCCAUCUUGUUGUGGUGGUCUCCGCUGACGGGAGAGACUGGGCGGCUUGGCCAGUGUGGACAAGACACUUGCUUCUUUACCAUCAACAGAACCUAUCAGCACCAUCCCAUGACAAAGGCAUUUCUCUUCUACGGUACUGACUUCAGCAUUGAUGCCUUACCUCUCCCUCGCGAAGUCCACCAUGACUGGGCCCUUUUCCACGAAGAGUCCCCUAAAAACAAUUACAAGCUCUUCCAGAGCCCCGCAAUCACACUGUUCAACCACACAGCCACUUUCAGCCGCCACUCACACCUCCCGCUCACCACCCAGCACCUUGAGAGCAUCGAGGCCUUGAUGUCCCUGCGGUACAUGGUCCCGCUGCAGGAGAAGAAUCGCUUAAGGAAGAGACUCGCGCCACUUGCCUACGUACAGUCAGACUGCGACCCUCCCUCCGACCGGGACAGCUACGUGAGGGAGCUGAUGAGCCACAUUGAGGUGGACUCGUACGGGGCCUGCUUGCAUAACAGGGACCUCCCCAAGCCUCUCAAAAACCCCGCCUCCAUGGACAGCGAGGACUUCUACCAGGUCCUCGCCCAGUACAAAUUUGUCCUUGCUUUUGAGAACGCCGUCUGUCAAGAUUACAUCACGGAAAAGCUCUGGAGGCCACUGAAGCUGGGAGUGGUGCCUGUUUAUUACGGCUCUCCCAGCAUUGAAGACUGGCUUCCGAACAAGAAGAGUGCAAUUCUCGCCACAAGAUUUUCCAGCCCCAGGGAACUGGCACAGUAUGUCAGUGCUCUGGAUGUGGACGACAAGGAAUACGAGGCCUAUCUUGAAUGGAAGCUGAAAGGCAACAUCUCCAAUGAACGACUACUCGCCGCUAUCCAGGAACGCACGUGGGGAGUGCAAGAUAUCAUGAAAGAGAAUUACCUAGAUGCAUUUGAGUGCAUGGUCUGUACGAGAGUCUGGGAAAAUACCCGGAGACAAGCAAAGGUAAUGUUUAGUGUGUCUGGAUUGCUAGGCAAGACCUGCUCCAUAGACAGACCUUCAAGUGGACUUGGGGACAGAAGCCAGGAAAUCCCCCUAGAAAAAGGUGGCUGUAAUGUUAUUGCUUGGGCUGAAAAGGUCUUCAGCCACUUGCAAAGGCUAAUAGAAAUGCAGUAGUCAAACAAUGCAAUUAAUGCAGUGGAUGGAUUUCAAGCAGCAACUUCUCAAUAAAUUGUUAACUAAACCCCAUAUGCUUGUGAGACAGUUGCGAUACAAAGAAAACUGAAAAACAUAAGUGGGGAGAAGCCAAGCUUUCUUGUGGAUGGUGUGAGUGUGCUUUUGGCACCCCCAAGCUCUUUCUAUGGCAGAAGUCUCCCAUAGACUGCAAUAUUCUGUGAGUUCAAACUCCUAUCCAAUCCAGGUACAUUCUUGCAGGGAAAUAGUUCACCAGACCCUGAACUGCGAAUUCACAACUACCAGCUUCAGUUUCCAGUUGGUAGGUCAUGACCUAAUGCUGGAUUCUAUUCUCACUUAAUGUGGGUUGUACACAACAGCCAUCAUUUAGACACACACAUCUGCAACAAAAAGUUGCCGUGUAGAAGGCUUUUUUGUCAGGACAUUCCAUUUCAUUUUUCUUUCCAGCUGGGUUCCUUUCUACACCCCGACAGUCAGUCAGUCAGUCAGUCAGUCAGUCAGUCAGUCAGUCAGUCAGUGAGCGUUUCAUGCUCCCUGACUAUGCUCAGACUUCAUUAGACUUGUUUUUUCUUCCCAGAGCCUCUUUGAUACCUGGUAAAAUAUGAGAUUGACCCUGUGUCUGUGGAGACCUCCCUCUUGGGUGUGGAUGGUGCUGUUUUGGCAACAUAAGCCUCGGAACUCGGACUACUUUCUAUUAUUUCAAUAUAGCCCUCAUGUUAUUCAGUGGUAACAACAACCUCACACAGUCACUUCAGUAACGUCUGGUGAUGUAUAAUAAUGUUUAGAGAUUCACUCACUGCAGUUCCAAAAGAUUAAAGAUUGGCAGGGUAUGUUACCAAGAAAGUGGAACGCUGCACCUACUCACCUGAGCUGCCCCAAACCUCAAGCAUUUGUUUUUCCAAACGUGCGUGGAACAGCCCUGCAGGAGCUGUGGAUACCCAGCUUUGAA
Varanus komodoensis (Komodo dragon) is the source of this 2799-nucleotide RNA transcript. It is a transcript of the gene named fucosyltransferase 10, with no coding region annotated. The transcript is spliced from 5 exons. The record is from RefSeq and is a predicted model, not a curated record. Lineage: Eukaryota; Metazoa; Chordata; Lepidosauria; Squamata; Varanidae.